This 75-nucleotide transfer RNA is filed under the name Candidatus Nitrosocosmicus sp. Its description in RNAcentral is "tRNA-Gln". It matches the Rfam family "tRNA". From Rfam's summary of the family: Transfer RNA (tRNA) molecules are approximately 80 nucleotides in length. Their secondary structure includes four short double-helical elements and three loops (D, anti-codon, and T loops). The record is from RNAcentral. Lineage: Archaea; Thermoproteati; Nitrososphaerota; Nitrososphaeria; Nitrososphaerales; Nitrososphaeraceae.
AGUCCUGUAGUGUAGAUAGGUCAAGCACAUGGGUCUUUGGAACCUAGAACCUCAGUUCGAAUCUGGGCAGGACUA